RNAcentral lists this ribosomal RNA (403 nucleotides) under uncultured bacterium. RNAcentral describes it as "bacterial SSU rRNA". It matches the Rfam family "Bacterial small subunit ribosomal RNA", at positions 355 to 775 of the family's 1533-position model. The record is from RNAcentral.
UAGGGAAUAUUGGACAAUGGGCGAAAGCCUGAUCCAGCAAUGCCGCGUGAGUGAUGAAGGCCUUAGGGUUGUAAAGCUCUUUUACCCGGGAUGAUAAUGACAGUACCGGGAGAAUAAGCUCCGGCUAACUCCGUGCCAGCAGCCGCGGUAAUACGGAGGGAGCUAGCGUUGUUCGGAAUUACUGGGCGUAAAGCGCACGUAGGCGGUUAUUUAAGUCAGAGGUGAAAGCCCAGUGCUCAACACUGGAACUGCCUUUGAGACUGGAUAACUUGAAUCCAGGAGAGGUGAGUGGAAUUCCGAGUGUAGAGGUGAAAUUCGUAGAUAUUCGGAAGAACACCAGUGGCGAAGGCGGCUCACUGGACUGGUAUUGACGCUGAGGUGCGAAAGCGUGGGGAGCAAACAG